UCCACUCACCGCAGACUUCGCGCUCGGGAAGACGGGCAACCGCUCUGCGGUUGCACUCACCAGAGAAGCCGUCGCCGCCGCGCGACUGUAAAGGCGGAGCCGAAUUGAGCGCCGGCCACUGCGGCGUAUCCCGCGCAAGGCGGGAGGCCGUGGGAAGGUCGUGCGCCUGCCCGGCGAAACCGGGGACAGCAGUGCCGCCAAGCCAGGAGACCGGCGAAGUCUGCAGCCCGCAC
RNAcentral lists this non-coding RNA (233 nucleotides) under Acidobacteriota bacterium. Lineage: Bacteria; Pseudomonadati; Acidobacteriota. The record is from RNAcentral.